CCUACGGGAGGCAGCAGUGGGGAAUAUUGGACAAUGGGGGGAACCCUGAUCCAGCCAUGCCGCGUGUGUGAAGAAGGCCCUCGGGUUGUAAAGCACUUUCAGUGAGGAAGAACGCCUGGUGGUUAAUACCCAUCAGGAAAGACAUCACUCACAGAAGAAGCACCGGCUAACUCCGUGCCAGCAGCCGCGGUAAUACGGAGGGUGCGAGCGUUAAUCGGAAUUACUGGGCGUAAAGCGCGCGUAGGUGGCUUGAUAAGCCGGUUGUGAAAGCCCCGGGCUCAACCUGGGAACGGCAUCCGGAACUGUCAAGCUAGAGUGCAGGAGAGGAAGGUAGAAUUCCCGGUGUAGCGGUGAAAUGCGUAGAGAUCGGGAGGAAUACCAGUGGCGAAGGCGGCCUUCUGGACUGACACUGACACUGAGGUGCGAAAGCGUGGGUAGCAAACAGGAGUAGAUACCCCAGUAGUC
This 465-nucleotide ribosomal RNA is filed under the name Vreelandella stevensii. RNAcentral's name for it is "partial 16S ribosomal RNA". It matches the Rfam family "Bacterial small subunit ribosomal RNA", at positions 338 to 795 of the family's 1533-position model. The record is from RNAcentral. Lineage: Bacteria; Pseudomonadati; Pseudomonadota; Gammaproteobacteria; Oceanospirillales; Halomonadaceae.